This 741-nucleotide ribosomal RNA is filed under the name Kluyvera sp. RNAcentral describes it as "bacterial SSU rRNA". It matches the Rfam family "Bacterial small subunit ribosomal RNA", at positions 67 to 809 of the family's 1533-position model. Lineage: Bacteria; Pseudomonadati; Pseudomonadota; Gammaproteobacteria; Enterobacterales; Enterobacteriaceae. The record is from RNAcentral.
GCUUGCUUCUUGGGAUGACUAGCUGGCGGACGGGUGAGUAAUGUCUGGGAAACUGCCCGAUGGAGGGGGAUAACUACUGGAAACGGUAGCUAAUACCGCAUAACGUCGCAAGACCAAAGUGGGGGACCUUCGGGCCUCACACCAUCGNAUGUGCCCAGAUGGGAUUANCUAGUAGGUGGGGUAAUGGCUCACCUAGGCGACGAUCCCUAGCUGGUCUGAGAGGAUGACCAGCCACACUGGAACUGAGACACGGUCCAGACUCCUACGGGAGGCAGCAGUGGGGAAUAUUGCACAAUGGGCGCAAGCCUGAUGCAGCCAUGCCGCGUGUAUGAAGAAGGCCUUCGGGUUGUAAAGUACUUUCAGCGAGGAGGAAGGCAUUGUGGUUAAUAACCGCAGUGAUUGACGUUACUCGCAGAAGAAGCACCGGCUAACUCCGUGCCAGCAGCCGCGGUAAUACGGAGGGUGCAAGCGUUAAUCGGAAUUACUGGGCGUAAAGCGCACGCAGGCGGUCUGUCAAGUCGGAUGUGAAAUCCCCGGGCUCAACCUGGGAACUGCAUUCGAAACUGGCAGGCUAGAGUCUUGUAGAGGGGGGUAGAAUUCCAGGUGUAGCGGUGAAAUGCGUAGAGAUCUGGAGGAAUACCGGUGGCGAAGGCGGCCCCCCUGGACAAAGACUGACGCUCAGGUGCGAAAGCGUGGGGAGCAAACAGGAUUAAAUACCCUGGUAGUCCACGCCGUAAACGA